UACGUAGGGGGCAAGCGUUGUCCGGAUUCAUUGGGCGUAAAGAGCGUGUAGGCGGCCAGGUAGGUCGGUUGUGAAAACUGGAGGCUCAACCUUCAGAGGUCGACCGAAACCAUCUGGCUAGAGUCCGGGAGAGGAGAGUGGAAUUCCUGGUGUAGCGGUGAAAUGCGCAGAUAUCAGGAAGAACACCCGUGGCGAAAGCGGCUCUCUGGAACGGUACUGACGCUGACACGCGAAAGCGUGGGGAGCGAACAGG
This 253-nucleotide ribosomal RNA is filed under the name uncultured bacterium. RNAcentral describes it as "partial 16S ribosomal RNA". It matches the Rfam family "Bacterial small subunit ribosomal RNA", at positions 524 to 776 of the family's 1533-position model. The record is from RNAcentral.